Molecule: RNA transcript, 3646 nt
Organism: Scophthalmus maximus (turbot)
Lineage: Eukaryota; Metazoa; Chordata; Actinopteri; Pleuronectiformes; Scophthalmidae
Gene name: GRB2-associated-binding protein 1
Exons: 15
Source: RefSeq, a predicted model, not a curated record
CAGGCAGAGAGGGAGAGGGAGGGAGGAGCGACUGCCUUGAAGAAGAAACCCCCUGAGAAGGAGGUGUGACUCGUCGCCGUCGUCGGGAGGAGAAGCAGCAGCUCCGUCACCUGAGUUCCUUGAUCUGAAGAUGAAUUGAUGACACCACUGACCUGAGGUCCUCAUCCAUCGACACACCCGGAGUCUGAUCCACUGGUUGUGACCGCUCGCAGGUCGCGGGGGCCUCGUCGACUUGUCUCCCAAACCAGAUUGAUCGAUUUCAAAUCGAACUCGGUGACGAGGCGACGGAUCAGUUUUACGGCCUGAACCUGAAAAACUCUGGCUCUCUGUGGAUUCCCCCUCGAUCGACCGAUCCCGGUGGGACGAUCGCUCGGCCGCUCGGUAGUCGAAGUCGAUCGAUCGAUCGUUUUUUUCGUUUGGAGCCGAGCUCGGUUGCCGUGGCGAUGAGCGGAGCCGGGGAUGUGGUGUGCGAGGGCUGGCUGCGAAAAUCACCGCCGGAGAAGAAGUUACGCCGUUACGCGUGGAAGAGGCGUUGGUUCGCUCUGCGGAGUGGUCGGCUGAGCGGAGAACCGGACGUCCUGCAGUACUACAAGAACCAACAGUCCCGCCGGCCAAUCAGGACCAUCAACCUGAACCUGUGCGAACAGGUGGAUGCCGGCCUGUCGUUCACGAAGAAGGAGCUGGAGAACAGCUUUGUUUUCGACCUGAGGACUGAGGAGAGGACCUGGUAUCUGGUGGCCGAGUCCGAGGAGGACAUGAACCGCUGGGUGUCGUCCAUCUGCCUGCUCUGUGGCUUCAACCCGACUGACGACUCAGUCAGUUCAGCUCCAGAGAGACCUCCCGUCUCUGGCCCAACCUCCGCUGUGACCCCAACCAACGUCACUGCCACCAUCGCCACGGCGGCCGGCACAGUCCCGCCCCCUUACGACCCGGUGAGCGUGCGACACCAGGAGCCCGACGGCCACGCAGAAGACAACUACCUGUGGUUAUCACACUGCCAGAGUCACAUCAGGCCUCCUUCAGGAUCCUCCACCUCCCUUGAAACCCACUACAACGACAACCUCUACCCUCCUCCCUCUCGCACAUCCUCCUCCUCUUCCACCUCCUCCUCUCCUUCCCUCCUCCCUAACAUCCUCCCUCCUCCGUCCUCCUCCACCUCCUCUGUUUCUAAGAUGGCUCCCUGGACAGUGGCCUUGAUGACGGGUCCUCUCAGCCAGUCGCUGGACGCCUCAGACCUCCUGAAACGAGCUGGCAGACCUCGCUGUCACCCCUCUCCUCACCCCAGGAAGCACUCCCUCGAUUUCCACCUGCGUCCCGUGGCGAUACCUCUAAGCGAUGAUACGCACUCCAACCUGCAUCCAAACAUGCACUCAUGCACCACCAGUGGUUACCAGAUACCCCGUCCAGCAUCCACCCCGCAACCACGACAAACCCGCCGCCCCUCCUCUACCCCGAGUGUGGACUCUCUAACCCAGAUGGAGCUCCAUGCCUCCAUCCCAACGCCCCCUCCACGCCCACCGAAGCCGCCAGCGAUCGCAGCCCAGGGAGAGAGCUCAGCGGUGGGCAUGGGACGUGCCACGCUCCCCCGUACCACCUCAGAGCCAGAGAGGAGGGAGGGGUGUCUGGACGGAGGUGGGGGAGGUGUGCCGAGGAGUAACACAGUCACUAUACCAGGACGCACGCAGACAGGUUGCGAGUCUUUUUUCAUCCCUCAGUCGCUGUCCGACAGAGCGAGCAUGUUUGAGUUCAGCGACAGCUUCAACAGUUACUUUUUUAAUAAAGGCAUGGUACCUCUGGGUAGCGUUUGCUCCGAAGAUGAUAAUGUGGAUGAAAACUACGUCCCCAUGAGCGCUGCAACCACAGAGCCUCCCGUUGCGCCGAGGGUCUUCUCUCCCUCUGACUCCGUUGUCCAACUCCAAGAUGGCAACUAUGUCCCCAUGACCCCCCUCACCCCUUCCCUUUCCACGCACCCCGCGGUGGCCACAGGAUCUGAUCUGGCGGCGCUGGGGAGGCAGGUGCCUCCGCCCGUCCACAUGGGCUUCCGCAACUCCCCCCUGACUCCCGUCGCUCCCCUCACCCCGCCGCUGCGGAGGAACACGGUGACCACGGCCGGUGGAGCAGAGGUCGACGCCAUGCCGCCGCCGAUCGACCGCAACCUGAAACCACAACGCAAGGGCGUUUGUGUCGCUCAGCCUUCGGAGAGAAGCGUCGGACAAACUGCUGCAGAGUCGACCCAUAAAACCAGAGUGAAACCAGCUCCUCUGGACAUCGUGUCAGUGCAGCAGGACUGGCAGGAAGUCCCGCCCCCGGUCCGCUCACCUGUCACCAGAACCUUCACACGAGAUCCGUCCAGUCGUCCGUCCGUCAGGCCGAGCUCGUCCCACAGCUCGUCCCCGUCCUCCGACUCAGACGACCCCGAUGACAGCUACAUCGCCAUGACGACCUCCAGCCUCAGUUUCAGUGCCGGGGAGUCGUCUCUCAGGCUCAUGCUGCACCGGGCUUCAGAGGGCGGAGUCAGCAGUCCGUUGCUACGGCGAGCCAGAGGCGACAAACAGGUGGAGUACCUGGACCUGGACCUCCACACCGGGCGAUCGACACCAACGAGACAGGGCGAAGAUGAUCUCCUGGAUCCCGCUGCUCGUCGUCCUGACCUCCUGUGUCUGUGUGACACCGAGCGUCUAUCAGGCCGAGGAGGACGACAUGGUCACACUGGAAUGGAGGUUCCCAGGUGAAGCCGUCGGCCCCCGUGACUUCCUGUACAUCUUCUGCGAUCUGGUUGUCGACAACAGAGACUCGAAGGUCCUGUAUCACCUACGCGAGGGCGUCGAGGUCCGAGUCCAGUGUGACAACGACGCCGUGGGACAAGGACGACUCCGACUCAGUGUGUCCAGAGUCCGGACCGAGGACUCGGGCCUGUACCUGUGUGAAGUCAGCACAAAAAGUUUUGGGGACGGCGACAAAUGUCGACUCUUUGUCACUGCAGCUCCCGACGAGCCCAGACCCGAGACGCGGACAGCGAGGCCACAACCAGAGUGUCUGAGAAGGAUCCGCUUGUACCUCACACUGGGACUGACGGCGUCAAUGGGAGUGACAGCGGCUGCCGUGGCCGCUCUGGUGUUCAGACUCUGGCCUCGCUCUCGUUCUGCUGAGACGACGACGGAGAGCAGACUUCUCCCCGAGGCUUCAUCCUUUGACCCCGAUGUGCUGCUCCUGCCCCCUGCCACCUCACAUCUGACCAGCCCCACCGUUAUUUCAGAACAACAUGGUGACUGAUGACUGGACUUCCUCAGGACGGCCUUUGAAUGUAUGUCCUGGUGCAGCCAGGUGAAUCUUUGGGGUUUUGGGGGAGAGGGUGGGGACAUCCGGUGGUUUCAGCUUUGGGACGAAGCAACGGGACGAGACACUUUGCAAGAAAUGACCACGGGCCGACAGUAAGUUGUAGGUCGACCGAUGCUGCCACACGUUGCUUCGUACUGUUUUUGUGCACGAAAUAAUACGCUUACGUUAAAUGAACAAACUUUGACAGAAUCCAUGAAGUCAUUUUAAACCCACGUGUGAGUACAAUGUUACACAGCUCACCAGUUCUCUGUCCAAAGAUGACGUUUGAUUCACUUUUUUGAAAUAAUAAAAAACUUUUCGAACUGUA